CUCACCAAAAAUAUGGAGACACAAUGCCAUGUUUGCACAACAGUAGUAACCAGUCUGAUGCGCAGAGUCUUUAACACCACAACGAUUUAAUCUACACAGGCUGCAGGUACAGAUCUUACAGCAGGAUUAAAGUUUGAUUCACACCUUAUGCACGAUUACAUUGGCAUGUGUUUAAUAGACCAGACAAUAAUAUAAUUUAAUGACCUGUUUUAGGUUUGGAUUGAGAACGUCUCACUUUUGGCACGAAGAAAUUUUGUUUGUAUUUAAUUUUGUCACAAAUUCUCAAACUGUCAAGGGAUUUCUAGCCACACUGGAAC
Non-coding RNA from Pelobates cultripes (western spadefoot toad), 317 nucleotides. The record is from the annotation of a GenBank genome assembly. Lineage: Eukaryota; Metazoa; Chordata; Amphibia; Anura; Pelobatidae.